This 68-nucleotide small nucleolar RNA is filed under the name Echinops telfairi (small Madagascar hedgehog). RNAcentral describes it as "Small nucleolar RNA SNORD25 (ENSETEG00000026706.1)". The record is from RNAcentral. Lineage: Eukaryota; Metazoa; Chordata; Mammalia; Afrosoricida; Tenrecidae.
CUCUCGGUGAUGAGGACCUUCUCACAGACCUGUACUGAGCAUUGUGAGGACAGUUUGACUCUGAGGAC